Molecule: long non-coding RNA, 532 nt
Filed under: Homo sapiens (human)
Lineage: Eukaryota; Metazoa; Chordata; Mammalia; Primates; Hominidae
Description: non-protein coding NDUFA6-DT:47
Source: RNAcentral
ACAGAAACGCCGCUUGGCCUUUGGACUACACCAUCUGUCGCUCGCUCUAACGAGCCGGCGUUGCCGCCAGGGGACGCUCGGGCCGCAGGAGGUCGCUGGGUCGUGAGCUGGCGCCGGGGACGCCGAGCGACUGCGGGGUUUCCCUCAGCGUCCUGCUAUCCGGCUGCCCGCCGCGCUCCUUGGUAGUGUCCGUGGGCGCGCAGGCCUUGAAGAACCUCCUCGUGGCGGGACCCCGAGGAGAGGUGUCAAAGAGCUGGCGCGUCUCCAGAGCCCCGGGAGGAAGGCUGUAACGGCAGCCCCAUCGUAGACAGGGACAUUCGCAUCCCGAGCCCUGGAUCUCUGAAAACCAGCCCAGAAUUUGGAAGCUGGAAGGAACUUUAGAUCGUCCAUUCUGAGUGUCUCUCUUCGCUGGCGUUUUCCCACUGAGGUUAUGUAAACAUGAAGAGGAGCCUACAAGUGUCAAGGAAAAAACGACAGCUAACCACAGGGCAGGCCAUGGGCAAGAUAUCUCAGUGUUCUCCGCUCUCAUAGG